GAUGAACGCUGGCGGCGUGCUUAAUACAUGCAAGUCGAGCGAACAGACGAUGAGCUUGCUCCGCGGACGAUAGCGGCGCACGUGUGUAUAACACGUGUAUAACCUACCUAUAAGAGUGGUAUAACCUGGGGAAACCGGAUCUUACACCGUAGAAGCUACUGAUGCGCGUGGUUGGAUAGUGAGAUACGGUGUUGCGGUCACGAAUAGAUGGAUCUGCGCCGCAUUAGCUGGUUGGUGAGGUAACGGCUUACCAAGGCAACGAGGCGUAGCCGACGUGAGAGGGUGAUAGGCCACACUGGAACUGGGCCACGGUCCAGACUCCUGAGGGAGGCAGCAGUCGGGAAUCUUCCGCAAUGGGCGAAAGCCUGACGGAGCAACGCGGAGUGAGUGAUGACGGUCUUCGGAUCGUAAAACUCUGUUAUUAGGGAAGAACAAAUGUGUAAGUAACUAUGCACGUCUUGACGGUACCUAAUAAGAAAGCCACGGCUAACUACGUG
Molecule: ribosomal RNA, 497 nt
Filed under: uncultured bacterium
Lineage: Bacteria
Description: partial 16S ribosomal RNA
Rfam family: Bacterial small subunit ribosomal RNA
Source: RNAcentral